RNAcentral lists this transfer RNA (16 nucleotides) under Asplenium hookerianum. RNAcentral's name for it is "partial tRNA-Phe". The record is from RNAcentral. Lineage: Eukaryota; Viridiplantae; Streptophyta; Polypodiopsida; Polypodiales; Aspleniaceae.
CCGAGAUAGCUCAGCC